GUCUGUGGUACUAUACGGCAGAGAGUGACAAUCAUGUAUAAUUUAAAAUGAUUGACACCUCUGUUAGUGAAGUAGUGCAUGA
Molecule: microRNA precursor, 82 nt
Filed under: Oryctolagus cuniculus (rabbit)
Lineage: Eukaryota; Metazoa; Chordata; Mammalia; Lagomorpha; Leporidae
Source: RNAcentral